This 497-nucleotide ribosomal RNA is filed under the name uncultured bacterium. RNAcentral's name for it is "partial 16S ribosomal RNA". It matches the Rfam family "Bacterial small subunit ribosomal RNA", at positions 28 to 507 of the family's 1533-position model. The record is from RNAcentral.
GAUGAACGCUGGCGGCGUGCCUAAUACAUGCCAGUCGAGCGAACAGAUAAGGAGCUUGCUCCUUUGACGUUAGCGGCGGACGGGUGAGUAACACGUGGAUAACCUACCUAUAAGACUGGGAUAACUUCGGGAAACCGGAGCUAAUACCGGAUAACAUAUUGAACCGCAUGGUUCAAUAGUGAAAGGCGGCUUUGCUGUCACUUAUAGAUGGAUCCGCGCCGUAUUAGCUAGUUGGUAAGGUAACGGCUUACCAAGGCAACGAUACGUGGCCGACCUGAGAGGGUGAUCGGCCACACUGGAACUGAGACACGGUCCAGACUCCUACGGGAGGCAGCAGUAGGGAAUCUUCCGCAAUGGGCGAAAGCCUGACGGAGCAACGCCGCGUGAGUGAUGAAGGUCUUCGGAUCGUAAAACUCUGUUAUCAGGGAAGAACAAAUGUGUAAGUAACUGUGCACAUCUUGACGGUACCUGAUCAGAAAGCCACGGCUAACUACGUG